This 497-nucleotide ribosomal RNA is filed under the name uncultured bacterium. RNAcentral's name for it is "partial 16S ribosomal RNA". It matches the Rfam family "Bacterial small subunit ribosomal RNA", at positions 28 to 507 of the family's 1533-position model. The record is from RNAcentral.
GACGAACGCUGGCGGCGUGCCUAAUACAUGCAAGUAGAACGCUGAAGCUUGGUGCUUGCACCGAGCGGAUGAGUUGCGAACGGGUGAGUAACGCGUAGGUAACCUGCCUGGUAGCGGGGGAUAACUAUUGGAAACGAUAGCUAAUACCGCAUAAGAGUAGAUGUUGCAUGACAUUUGCUUAAAAGGUGCAAUUGCAUCACUACCAGAUGGACCCGCGUUGUAUUAGCUAGUUGGUGAGGUAACGGCUCACCAAGGCAACGAUACAUAGCCGACCUGGGAGGGUGGUCGGCCACACUGGGACUGAGACACGGCCCAGACUCCUACGGGAGGCAGCAGUAGGGAAUCUUCGGCAAUGGACGGAAGUCUGACCGAGCAACGCCGCGUGAGUGAAGAAGGUUUUCGGAUCGUAAAGCUCUGUUGUAAGAGAAGAACGAGUGUGAGAGUGGAAAGUUCACACUGUGACGGUAUCUUACCAGAAAGGGACGGCUAACUACGUG